GCGAAUCGGUGGUCGAUUGAAGUUUUGAUGACAUAGCGGUCGGAUUCACCUUGGUUGUAUAUCCUAAGGUGGAGAUGUGACUAGACCUCAAGUAUAUGUAUUGAGGUGGGUCGAACUAGAUCCUAAGUAUAUGUGUUAAGACCUAGUCGAUAUUAAACUCUAUGUAUUAGAGUCUAAUUGGCUUUAAGUAUAUGUCUUAGAGUCCGAUUAUAUUCACCUUGAUUGUAUAUUCCAGGGUGGAGACGUGACCAGAUCUCAAGUAUAUGUAUUCAGGUGGGUCGAAUUUGACAUUACCCGAGAGUGGCUAAUUUCUGAGUGUAUGUAUCAAGAUUAGCCGAGUUUGAUAUGUUUUCACUCUAGUUAUAUGUGCUAGAGUGAAGAUCUGACUAAGCCCUAAGUAUAUGUAUUAGGAGUAGUCGGAUUUGAUUUGUAUGAGUUCUAAGUAUAUGUGUUAGAACUCGAUCGGGUAUGGAUUUCACUCUAGGCAGAUGUGCUAGAGCAAAAGGCUGACUAGA
This 515-nucleotide long non-coding RNA is filed under the name Ananas comosus (pineapple). RNAcentral describes it as "long non-coding RNA (ACOM_LNC037016)". Lineage: Eukaryota; Viridiplantae; Streptophyta; Magnoliopsida; Poales; Bromeliaceae. The record is from RNAcentral.